GAUUUCCGAAUGGGGAAACCCACUGCUCGUAAUGGAGUAGUAUCCAUACUUGAAUACAUAGAGUAUGAGAAGGCAUACCCGGGGAACUGAAACAUCUAAGUACCCGGAGGAAGAGAAAGCAAAUGCGAUUCCCUGAGUAGCGGCGAGCGAAACGGGAACAGCCCAAACCAAGAGGCUUGCCUCUUGGGGUUGUAGGACACUCUAUACGGAGUUACAAAGGAAUGAUAUAAGCGAAGAGGUCUGGAAAGGCCCGCCAAAGAAGGUAACAGCCCUGUAACUGAAAUGUUAUUCUCUCCAGAGUGGAUCCUGAGUACGGCGGAACACGUGAAAUUCCGUCGAAAUC
This 343-nucleotide ribosomal RNA is filed under the name Bacillus safensis. RNAcentral describes it as "bacterial LSU rRNA". It matches the Rfam family "Bacterial large subunit ribosomal RNA", at positions 109 to 444 of the family's 2925-position model. The record is from RNAcentral. Lineage: Bacteria; Bacillati; Bacillota; Bacilli; Caryophanales; Bacillaceae.